AGUGAACGCUGGCGGUAGGCCUAACACAUGCAAGUCGAACGGCAGCACAGUAAGAGCUUGCUCUUACGGGUGGCGAGUGGCGGACGGGUGAGGAAUGCAUCGGAAUCUACUUUUUCGUGGGGGAUAACGUAGGGAAACUUACGCUAAUACCGCAUACGACCUACGGGUGAAAGCAGGGGAUCUUCGGACCUUGCGCGAUUGAAUGAGCCGAUGUCGGAUUAGCUAGUUGGCGGGGUAAAGGCCCACCAAGGCGACGAUCCGUAGCUGGUCUGAGAGGAUGAUCAGCCACACUGGAACUGAGACACGGUCCAGACUCCCACGGGAGGCAGCAGUGGGGAAUAUUGGACAAAGGGCGCAAGCCUGAUCCAGCCAUACCGCGUGGGUGAAGAAGGCCUUCGGGUUGUAAAGCCCUUUUGUUGGGAAAGAAAAGCAGCAGGUUAAUACCCCGCUGUUCUGACGGUACCCAAAGAAUAAGCACCGGCUAACUUCGUG
RNAcentral lists this ribosomal RNA (492 nucleotides) under uncultured bacterium. RNAcentral's name for it is "partial 16S ribosomal RNA". It matches the Rfam family "Bacterial small subunit ribosomal RNA", at positions 29 to 507 of the family's 1533-position model. The record is from RNAcentral.